UAACCUGCCCAAGAUAUCGGGAUAACACCUGGAAACAGAUGCUAAUACCGGAUAACAACAGAUGAUGCCUAUCAACUGUUUAAAAGAUGGUUCUGCUAUCACUCUUGGAUGGACCUGCGGUGCAUUAGCUAGUUGGUAGGGUAACGGCCUACCAAGGCGAUGAUGCAUAGCCGAGUUGAGAGACUGAUCGGCCACAUUGGGACUGAGACACGGCCCAAACUCCUACGGGAGGCAGCAGCG
This 240-nucleotide ribosomal RNA is filed under the name uncultured Lactobacillus sp. RNAcentral's name for it is "partial 16S ribosomal RNA". It matches the Rfam family "Bacterial small subunit ribosomal RNA", at positions 122 to 356 of the family's 1533-position model. Lineage: Bacteria; Bacillati; Bacillota; Bacilli; Lactobacillales; Lactobacillaceae. The record is from RNAcentral.